Molecule: ribosomal RNA, 439 nt
Filed under: uncultured bacterium
Lineage: Bacteria
Description: partial 16S ribosomal RNA
Rfam family: Bacterial small subunit ribosomal RNA
Source: RNAcentral
GCUACGGGGGGCAGCAGUGAGGAAUAUUGGUCAAUGGCCGAGAGGCUGAACCAGCCAAGUCGCGUGAGGGAAGACGGCCCUACGGGUUGUAAACCUCUUUUGUCGGGGAGCAAAGCGAACCACGUGUGGGUCAUUGAGAGUACCCGAAGAAAAAGCAUCGGCUAACUCCGUGCCAGCAGCCGCGGUAAUACGGAGGAUGCGAGCGUUAUCCGGAUUUAUUGGGUUUCAAGGGUGCGCCGGCGGAGGUGCACGUCAGCGGUCAAAUUGCAGUGGAAACUGGCAGUCUUGAGUACAGUAGAGGUGGGCGGACUUCGUGGUGUAGCGGUGUAAUGCUUAGAUAUCACGAAGAACUCCGAUUGCGAAGGCAGUUCACUGGACUGCAACUGACACUGAGGCUCGACAGUGUGGGUAUCAAACAGGAUUAGAUACCCCUGUAGUC